RNAcentral lists this ribosomal RNA (373 nucleotides) under uncultured bacterium. Its description in RNAcentral is "bacterial SSU rRNA". It matches the Rfam family "Bacterial small subunit ribosomal RNA", at positions 30 to 416 of the family's 1533-position model. The record is from RNAcentral.
AUUGAACGCUGGCGGCAGGCUUAACACAUGCAAGUCGAGCGGAGACUUCGGUCUUAGCGGCGAACGGGUGAGUAAUACCUAGGAAUCUGCCUAUUAGUGGGGGAUAACGAAUCGAAAGGUUCGCUAAUACCGCAUACGUCCUACGGGAGAAAGGGGGGAUCUUCGGACCUCUCGCUAAUAGAUGAGCCUAGGCCGGAUUAGCUAGUUGGUAGGGUAAAGGCCUACCAAGGCGACGAUCUGUAGCUGGUCUGAGAGGAUGGCCAGCCACGCUGGAACUGAGACACGGUCCAGACUCCUACGGGAGGCAGCAGUGGGGAAUAUUGGACAAUGGGGGCAACCCUGAUCCAGCCAUGCCGCGUGUGUGAAGAAGGCC